CAAAAAAAACAAAAGAAAGUCUCUCAUCCUCCUCAUCAACAUUUCCACCUCCGGGGAGUUCGAAUAACCCCCACAUGGACCACCACUUCGCCGGAAAGCCCUUGACGGCCAGCCCAUUCGGCAACCGGGCCGAUAUCGACCAUAUGCCUGACGCUCCAUACCGAGGGGCCCACCACCGCCGGGCCCAGUCCGAGACUUUCUUCCGCUUCUCGGACGACAUCCUUCUCGACGCCGAUGCCGACGUUGAUGUCGACUUCAACCUCG
This 264-nucleotide long non-coding RNA is filed under the name Vitis vinifera (wine grape). RNAcentral's name for it is "long non-coding RNA (VVIN_LNC006142)". The record is from RNAcentral. Lineage: Eukaryota; Viridiplantae; Streptophyta; Magnoliopsida; Vitales; Vitaceae.